UACGUAGGGAGCAAGCGUUGUCCGGAAUCAUUGGGCGUAAAGCGCGCGUAGGCGGCCCUGUAAGUCCGUUGUGAAAGUCAAAGGCUCAACCUUUGAAAGCCGAUGGAUACUGCAGGGCUAGAGUCCGGAAGAGGCGAGUGGAAUUCCUGGUGGUAGCGGUGGAAUGCGCAGAUAUCAGGAGGAACACCAAUAGCGAAGGCAGCUCCGCUGGGACG
This 215-nucleotide ribosomal RNA is filed under the name uncultured bacterium. RNAcentral describes it as "partial 16S ribosomal RNA". It matches the Rfam family "Bacterial small subunit ribosomal RNA", at positions 524 to 736 of the family's 1533-position model. The record is from RNAcentral.